GCCGAAGUGGUGGAAUUGGCAGACGCGCAGCGUUCAGGGCGCUGUGGGCUUCAGGCCCGUGCGGGUUCAACUCCCGCCUUCGGCACCA
RNAcentral lists this transfer RNA (88 nucleotides) under Bacillota bacterium. RNAcentral describes it as "Firmicutes bacterium (anaerobic digester metagenome) tRNA-Leu". It matches the Rfam family "tRNA". Rfam says of the family: Transfer RNA (tRNA) molecules are approximately 80 nucleotides in length. Their secondary structure includes four short double-helical elements and three loops (D, anti-codon, and T loops). The record is from RNAcentral. Lineage: Bacteria; Bacillati; Bacillota.